This 498-nucleotide ribosomal RNA is filed under the name uncultured bacterium. Its description in RNAcentral is "partial 16S ribosomal RNA". It matches the Rfam family "Bacterial small subunit ribosomal RNA", at positions 29 to 507 of the family's 1533-position model. The record is from RNAcentral.
AGCGAACGCUGGCGGCGUGCCUAACACAUGCAAGUCGAACGUGAAAAGGGAAACCUGAGUAAAGUGGCGUACGGGUGAGUAACGCGUAGGUAAUCUACCCCAGAAUCUGGAAUAACCUGCCGAAAGGCGGGCUAAUACUGGAUAGAGCGAGGGAACUCGUAAGAGAGUUUUUCGGGAAAGGGAGCCCGCAAGGGCCUUCGUUCUGGGAUGAGCCUGCGUCUCAUUAGCUAGUUGGUAAGGUAACGGCUUACCAAGGCGAUGAUGAGUAGCUGGUCUGAGAGGAUGAUCAGCCACACUGGAACUGAAACACGGUCCAGAAUCCUACGGGAGGCAGCAGUGGGGAAUCUUGCGCAAUGGACGAAAGUCUGACGCAGCCACGCCGCGUGAGUGAAGAAGGCCUUCGGGUUGUAAAGCUCUGUCGGAUGGGACGAACAUAUUCAUAGUGAAUAGCUAUGAGGACUGACGGUACCAUCAAAGGAAGCACCGGCUAACUCCGUG